Molecule: long non-coding RNA, 913 nt
Organism: Hemicordylus capensis (graceful crag lizard)
Lineage: Eukaryota; Metazoa; Chordata; Lepidosauria; Squamata; Cordylidae
Exons: 4
Source: RefSeq, a predicted model, not a curated record
UGGGCGGGGCUUCCAGAGAGGCCUCCGAGUAGGCCUCCCUGAAGCCUGAACUUGAGUAGGCCCCAAGCAAGGAAGGAAGGAAGGAGGAAGCAGGCAGCAGGCAGCAGACCCUCUGCCCAGACCAGACCAUCCAGAACAGCUAUUGCUAGGACUAAAGUUACCUUCAUCUUCAUUGUGACCUAAGUUUGGAGACGAUGCAGAAGAAAGGAAGAAGUGCUCCAUAUCAGUAACCGAUUGGUUCUCCUGGCCUCUCAUUAACUUUCAGAAAAUGAUUAUAGGAAUCUACUGCUCUACCCUAGGACCACUGCCUUGCAAGAAGAAACAACUUGCUAUCAAGAUCAAAUAUCAACCAGCUAUUCAAGAUCUAAGCUGCCGUACACUGAGUCAACACAUUCAAUGAGCUGACCACCACGACCCCAAGAUCCUUCUCCGGAACAGUCACUGGGAGUUCAGUCUCCAUCAGUCUAUAUGUGAAGCUGGAGUCGGGGUUUGUCCCAAUGUGCAUUUCUUACAUUACUUACUUAAAUUGAAUCAAUUUGCCAUCUUGUUGCCCACUCUCCGAGUUUGUAGAGAUCCCUUUUGAGCUUCUCACCAUCUGUUUUGGAUUUCCCUAACCUCAAUAGUUUAGUGCCAUCUGCAAUUACACCCAAUGGGGUCUAUUAUCAAUAGAGGUUUAAAGGUACAAGGAAAAACAGGAAGCUGAAAACAUUUGCUUGUGAGUGAUUUUAUGGCUACACUCCCAGAAACAGGCAUUCUCUAAAUUCCACUGAAAUCAGCUCAAGAGGUGUAUGUAUUUAACUGCAACCUGUAUUGUAGCUUUUGCUGUAUUUCUUUAUCCAUUUCCAUAUCUGUACUGACUUAAUGAGCCUAGGCUUGUAUAACUAUACAAAAAUAAAUAUAAUUAUAGAAUAUA